Molecule: ribosomal RNA, 151 nt
Filed under: Alexandrium tamarense
Lineage: Eukaryota; Dinophyceae; Gonyaulacales; Pyrocystaceae
Description: partial 18S ribosomal RNA
Rfam family: Eukaryotic small subunit ribosomal RNA
Source: RNAcentral
AGAUUACCGCGCACCAUUGCCGAAAGUGCACUGAACGUCUAGAUCAUUAUUAUCAUGACAUACUAUAAAAAAUAGCCGUAUCACCGAGUAUUUUAGAGGAAGGAGAAGUCGUAACAAGGUUUCUGUAGGUGAACCUGCAGAAGGAUCAUUU